CCUACGGGAGGUUGCAGUGGGGAAUAUUGGGCAAUGGGCGCAAGCCUGACCCAGCAACGCCGCGUGAAGGAAGAAGUCUUUCGGGUUGUAAACUUCUUUUAAUAGGGAAGAGCAGAACACGGUACCUCUUGAAUAAGCCACGGCUAACUACGUGCCAGCAGCCGCUGUAAUGCGUAGGUCGCAAGCGUUGUCCGGAUUUACUGGGUGUAAAGGGCGUGCAGCCGGGAAGACAAGUCAGAUGUGAAAGCCCGCGGCUCAACCGCGGAACUGCAUUUGAAACUGUUUUUCUUGAGUACCGGAGAGGUCAUCGGAAUUCCUUGUGUAGCGGUGAAAUGCGUAGAUAUAAGGAAGAACACCAGUGGCGAAGGCGGAUGACUGGACGGCAACUGACGGUGAGGCGCGAAAGCGUGGGGAGCAAACAGGAUUAGAUACCCGUGUAGUC
This 442-nucleotide ribosomal RNA is filed under the name uncultured bacterium. RNAcentral's name for it is "partial 16S ribosomal RNA". It matches the Rfam family "Bacterial small subunit ribosomal RNA", at positions 338 to 795 of the family's 1533-position model. The record is from RNAcentral.